Molecule: long non-coding RNA, 187 nt
Organism: Brassica napus (rape)
Lineage: Eukaryota; Viridiplantae; Streptophyta; Magnoliopsida; Brassicales; Brassicaceae
Exons: 2
Source: RefSeq, a predicted model, not a curated record
UUUUUGUCCUACCCCUUUCUCUUCGCCAUCUUCAACCACGUAACGGUCUGUAUUAAUUUCAAUCAACAAGGAAUCCCAAUACUUCCUCCUCAAUGUAUCUUAAAUUACUGGUUUUGCAACUUCAUUCCGUGUGUACAUAGAGACCCUCUGAGAGAGUUGAGGCUGUUGUAGGGAGAUUGAUUGUCUU